GCGCCCGUAGCUCAGAUGGAUAGAGCACGUGCCUCCGAAGCACGGGGUCGCCAGUUCGAAUCUGGCCGGGCGCGCCA
This 77-nucleotide transfer RNA is filed under the name Terriglobia bacterium. Its description in RNAcentral is "tRNA-Arg". It matches the Rfam family "tRNA". From Rfam's summary of the family: Transfer RNA (tRNA) molecules are approximately 80 nucleotides in length. Their secondary structure includes four short double-helical elements and three loops (D, anti-codon, and T loops). Lineage: Bacteria; Pseudomonadati; Acidobacteriota; Terriglobia. The record is from RNAcentral.